ACGAACUUGGAGGUGGCCAUCGUGAAUCGCCACCGGGUAUGUAAUUGUUUUCUAUUCUUUUCCCCUGAAUUUGUACUCUCGUUUUGGGUCCUUUGUAAUGUUGUGGGAUUUGUAUUCUUUUCCCUCAAGGUGAUGAAUCAGAGAAGCGAGGGACUUAAUUCUUCAGUGAGGCCAGCAGUGUAUCCCAUUACUUGCAUUUCCUCUUUAGUAUGCUGACGAGAUCUCGAGAGUCUUGGAUGCUUCUUUCUCAGUCCGUUUAAAUAGAUCAUUAUUUUACCAGGUUGUACACGUUUUUUCUCUCAAUGUGCGCUCUCACAAUUAUAUACCUUUUCCGAUCUUGAAAGUGAUUUGUUGAUGGUAUAGGAUAUCACUCAAACAAUGUAUUCUCAUCAAGGAUUGGGAUGUGUUCUCCAUACAACAUAUUGUCCAGGGUAUGUUUUUCCAUCCAAUAAACUGAACUGCCUCAUAGAAAAUUAUAUGUAAUACCCUCUUCUCCAUAAAUAAAUGGUAUUUACUUGGCGGUAGGCCAUGCUUGGCAGCCUCUCCUCCUCCCGGUCUUCGGUGCUUCUGCAAGAACUUAGCACCACUAUGGUCGAGCCACAUAGCACACGAGCGAGCUACAACGGGCGCACCACUUCGUGGUCGAGCCACAUAGCACACGAGCGAGCUACAACAGUGCACCACUUCGUAAGUUAUUUUGCUCCUUCUCUGAUAAAUUCGUAAUUAGAGACCUCCAUGUGUAUAUAACUAUAUAUAUACUUGGACUCAUUGGAAUUCAUGUAGCUAUUCUUCAUAGUAUUAAACACGUUAAAUUAGUUGAUGAUUCAUUGGUAUAUUGAUAGAAGAAUUCUACAGAUUUAUCUAUGAUUUUAUGAUUAUGUUCUUACUACAGUUUAUGGUUUAAUAUGUAUCUUGCAAACUAUGUAGGCAAAAAUUAUCACGUAUUUAAGAGCUGAGAGAAUGGUGUCAAAAUGUAGUUGAUUACCUUUCAAAUUGUGUUACAGGAUUCAACGAUUAACGUGUAUACAAUAUACUUUCAUGUCUACUUGAUUCUUCUAUAAAGAAUGUGGAUCCACGUGGUUUGGAAUGUUAAAUAUGUGCUCAUACGAUGUUUGAAUUGAGCAAUCUAUUUACCGACGGCCGAUUUUUAAUGAUGCUUAUGAAGUUGUGAAAUUCUGCGAGGAAAAGCUUGUGAGUGGAAUUAAUGAGCAUGGUGCUUGUGAUGUUUCCUUCAAAGUUCUUUUGCAAUCAAUCAAGCAUUCCUAUAUUCUUAUGUGUAUAAAUUCUCCUCUAAAUCCUACAUAACAAAAAAGGUUGCAUACAUAUGUGUUACAAUCUAUUUCUUUCAUAUUGUUCACCUGUUUCAUUGUAUACAUGCACUUUGGAUGGCAGAUGUUAAUGUUGGUUGGUUGCCACAUAAGUUAAAAAGGUUAAAAUCUUGAGUUGUAUCGAGCAUGGUCCUUUGCUUGAAGUUUUUGAUGGACUAUAUAACAUUGACCAUUCAAUCAUUCCAUCAGAAUGAGACAAGGGCACUAUUACAUGCUUCGACAGAGAUUGAAAGUAUAUUGCUUUAUCGAUUCUGAUAUAACGUUUCUUCUUAUUCUUGAUCGUACCUAUAACAUGAUACAAGAAAUUAUUUUGAAAGCUCGUUCAGUCGCACGACUUGGUGACUAGAGCUGCAUUCUGAAUAUUGUACUUAAUUGAAGCACCACCAUAUUUUAGUGUGUGGAAUGUGCCCGUGUGAUAAUCUAUAUAGAAGCUACAAAAAGUUUAUCUUAAAAUUUGAUUGUAUAGUAUUAGAUAUCACUGUAAAUUUUAAUCUCUCGCCAGACACCAAGAUUGGACAAGACACUUAAUAGUAGAGAUUGUGCAAGGUGAAGGAUGAGGAAGAUAACAC
Molecule: long non-coding RNA, 1897 nt
Filed under: Hordeum vulgare
Lineage: Eukaryota; Viridiplantae; Streptophyta; Magnoliopsida; Poales; Poaceae
Description: long non-coding RNA (HVUL_LNC001967)
Source: RNAcentral